AGAGCCGUUGCCUGUGGGAUAUGAAGACUUGUUUGACCUCUUCACACUUGGUGCAAUGGAUAUGGCCCUUCUUCGCUGCUUGUCACUGGCUUUUUCCAAAUCCAUACCCAAGAAGAAGAACAAGACGAAAAAUGUGAAGUUGACCCAUGCCACCAAAUUUGUUUGCCAGCAGCAACCUCUGGACAACACAUGUGGGUUCUAUGUGUCGCACAACCUUAUGCUUGCCAUGGGACAGACCAACUUGGAUGCUC
This is a long non-coding RNA of Sorghum bicolor (sorghum), 251 nucleotides long. RefSeq lists it as uncharacterized. NCBI's taxonomy places the organism in Eukaryota, Viridiplantae, Streptophyta, Magnoliopsida, Poales, Poaceae. The record is from RefSeq and is a predicted model, not a curated record. The transcript is spliced from 3 exons.